RNAcentral lists this ribosomal RNA (237 nucleotides) under uncultured bacterium. Its description in RNAcentral is "partial 16S ribosomal RNA". It matches the Rfam family "Bacterial small subunit ribosomal RNA", at positions 334 to 563 of the family's 1533-position model. The record is from RNAcentral.
CUAGCCUACGGGGGGCAGCAGUAGGGAAUCUUCCACAAUGGACGAAAGUCUGAUGGAGCAACGCCGCGUGAGUGAAGAAGGGUUUCGGCUCGUAAAGCUCUGUUGGGAGUGAAGAAAGAUAGAGGGAGUAACUGGCCUUUAUUUGACGGUAAUUACUUAGAAAGUCACGGCUAACUACGUGCCAGCAGCCGCGGUAAUAAGUAGGUGGCAAGCGUUGUCCGGGUUUAUUGGGCGUAA